GACGAACGCUGGCGGCGUGCUUAACACAUGCAAGUCGAACGGAAAGGCCCUGCUCUUGUGGGGUGCUCGAGUGGCGAACGGGUGAGUAACACGUGAGUAACCUGCCCUUGACUUUGGGAUAACUUCAGGAAACUGGGGCUAAUACCGGAUAGGAGCUCCUGCUGCAUGGUGGGGGUUGGAAAGUUUCGGCGGUGGGGGAUGGACUCUCGGCUUAUCAGCUGGUUGGUGGGGUAGUGGCUUACCAAGGCUUUGACGGGUAGCCGGCCUGAGAGGGUGACCGGCCACAAUGGGACUGAGAUACGGCCCAGACUCCUACGGGGGGCAGCAGUGGGGAAUAUUGCACAAUGGGCGGAAGCCUGAUGCAGCAGCGCCGCGUGCGGGAUGACGGCCUUCGGGUUGUAAACCGCUUUCGCCUGUGACGAAGCGUGAGUGACGGUAAUGGGUAAAGAAGCACCGGCUAACUACGUG
RNAcentral lists this ribosomal RNA (468 nucleotides) under uncultured bacterium. RNAcentral's name for it is "partial 16S ribosomal RNA". It matches the Rfam family "Bacterial small subunit ribosomal RNA", at positions 28 to 507 of the family's 1533-position model. The record is from RNAcentral.